RNAcentral lists this long non-coding RNA (494 nucleotides) under Elaeis guineensis (African oil palm). RNAcentral's name for it is "long non-coding RNA (EGUI_LNC045112)". Lineage: Eukaryota; Viridiplantae; Streptophyta; Magnoliopsida; Arecales; Arecaceae. The record is from RNAcentral.
AAUCUUGCUCAUGUUCGUUAAUUUCCUCUGAUAGUGGGGAGAACAUAGAGGGAGUUUGAAUUUCCAUAGGUUCAACCUCUUUCUCCGCUAUGUAAGCAUGUCUCAUGGGCUUCCUUGGUUGAAGCUACUCCUGUGCUGGUCUAUUCUCAACUAGCACUUGAUUUAUAGGAUCUUUCUUGGAGUAUGGUUGGGAGAAAGGAGUAACCGGCACUCGCGCCAUUCUAAUCCAAGGGCCAAAAGUACCAUCAUCAUUAUCAGCCUUGGAUGAACAAUCACAACCAUCCAGAGUUACCCCAAUUCAUCCACAUUUGUAUCAAAUAUCGGGCAGCUCUUCAUAGGAGAAUUGCUGCCAUAUUACUUCAUCAUGAAUCUUAAUUCUAGUUCCAAGGCAAACCGGGUGGCAGGCAUCUAAAACCACACAGGCUCUCGCAUAUCCCAUUCUGGUAGAAUUUAAAGUCCAGUCAUCAAGAAACAAGGGAACGCCAGCCUGAGAG